CCUACGGGUGGCAGCAGUGAGGAAUAUUGGUCAAUGGGCGCGAGCCUGAACCAGCCAAGUAGCGUGAAGGAUGACUGCCCUACGGGUUGUAAACUUCUUUUAUAAAGGAAUAAAGUGCGGCACGUGUGCCUUUUUGUGUGUACUUUAUGAAUAAGGAUCGGCUAACUCCGUGCCAGCAGCCGCGGUAAUACGGGGGAUCCGAGCGUUAUCCGGAUUUAUUGGGUUUAUAGGGUGCGUAGGCGGAAUGCCAAGUCAGCGGUAAAAUUGCGGGGCUCAACCUCGCCCAGCCGUUGAAACUGGCUUUCUUGAGUGGGCGAGAAGUAUGCGGAAUGCGUGGUGUAGCGGUGAAAUGCAUAGAUAUCACGCAGAACUCCGAUUGCGAAGGCAGCAUACCGGCGCCCAACUGACGCUGAAGCACGAAAGCGUGGGUAUCGAACAGGAUUAGAUACCCUAGUAGUC
RNAcentral lists this ribosomal RNA (459 nucleotides) under uncultured bacterium. RNAcentral's name for it is "partial 16S ribosomal RNA". It matches the Rfam family "Bacterial small subunit ribosomal RNA", at positions 338 to 795 of the family's 1533-position model. The record is from RNAcentral.